This 253-nucleotide ribosomal RNA is filed under the name uncultured bacterium. RNAcentral describes it as "partial 16S ribosomal RNA". It matches the Rfam family "Bacterial small subunit ribosomal RNA", at positions 524 to 776 of the family's 1533-position model. The record is from RNAcentral.
UACGAAGGGGGCUAGCGUUGUUCGGAAUCACUGGGCGUAAAGGGCGCGUAGGCGGUCUUGUAAGUCGGGGGUGAAAGCCUGUGGCUCAACCACAGAAUUGCCUUCGAUACUGCGAGGCUUGAGACCGGAAGAGGUCAGUGGAACUGCGAGUGUAGAGGUGAAAUUCGUAGAUAUUCGCAAGAACACCAGUGGCGAAGGCGGCUGACUGGUCCGGUUCUGACGCUGAGGCGCGAAAGCGUGGGGAGCAAACAGG